Saccostrea echinata is the source of this 470-nucleotide long non-coding RNA. RefSeq lists it as uncharacterized. The record is from RefSeq and is a predicted model, not a curated record. The transcript is spliced from 4 exons. NCBI's taxonomy places the organism in Eukaryota, Metazoa, Mollusca, Bivalvia, Ostreida, Ostreidae.
AUUUGAAAUUCUUCAUUUUUUAUGAUAAUAUUUUAUUUCGUAUAUAUGUUUAUAGGUUUAUUCGUAUCAACAAAUCUGUGUACGAGUUAAUAACGCAGCCUGGUUCCCUGCAUUUUCAGUGACAGAGAACCAGAAUAAGAUUGUAGGGAAACAAGCCUUGUUACAAGGUUUGAGGGUCUCGCUAGAAUCAUGUGGACCCCAGUGUAACAAAUCUAUGGAAAGAGAGAAAAUCUCAGCUCAAGGGUCAACAUGUCUUUAUUCCAAGAAAGAGUGUACAUAUGCCAGAAUCAUAUGGACCGCAGACUGGCCCUGGUGAUUCCGUUAAGAAAAAAGAGGAAAAAUCAGUGCUUGUGCUCAUUGGUCAUUGGACAAAGGGUGUAUGCCAGAAUUUUUUCAAGAACAGUCUGAAUCUGACAUGGAAAAAAUGAAGAAAAACAGCCUUCCUGUUUAUAAAUCUACAUUCUGACAAA